RNAcentral lists this ribosomal RNA (1327 nucleotides) under Athyma lysanias. RNAcentral describes it as "16S ribosomal RNA". The stretch from base 1072 to 1230 matches the Rfam family "Archaeal large subunit ribosomal RNA", at positions 2544 to 2703 of the family's 2987-position model. The record is from RNAcentral. Lineage: Eukaryota; Metazoa; Arthropoda; Insecta; Lepidoptera; Nymphalidae.
GGGGAAAAAUUAAUAAAAUAAAAAUAAUAAAAAAAUUUUUAAUUUUGGGGGAUGUUAAAGUAUUUUUUUAAAAAAAAAUAAAUUGUUUUAUAGUUAAUUAGUAUUGAAAAAGAAAUUUGAAAUAAUUGAAAAUAAAUUACUAAAAAAGUAAUUUUAAUUUAGUGUAUCUUGUGUAUCAGAGUUUAUUAAAAAAUAUUUUUUAUAAAAAAAAAUCUCGAAUUUAAAAGAGUUAAUUAAUUAUGAAAGUUAAUGUAGAAUAAUUAUUUUUAAUAAUUAAUUUGAAAUGAAAUGUUAAUCGUUUUUAAAUAUAUCUAGUUAUUUUAGAAAAAAAUUUAAUUUAAAAUUUAAAAAAUUUUAUUAUUAAUUAUAAUUAAUAAUAAAAUAUUUAAAAUUAAAUAUAUUAAGGGAUAAGCUUUAAUAUAAAAAUUUAUAAUAAAUUAAAAUAAAAUUUAAAAAUUUUAAAAUUUAUAUUGUUUAAAAAUUAUAAUUUAUUAUAAAAAAUUUUAAUAAUAAUAAAAUUUAAUAUUAAAAUUUAAAUUUAUAUAAAAUAAUAAUUUUUAAUAAAAAAAAAUUAAUAAUAAUGAUAAAAUUAGUAUAUUAAAAUAAAAAUAUAAUUUAAUUAAUUAAAAUUAAAUUAAAGGAAUUCGGCAAAAAUUUAUAUUCACUUGUUUAUCAAAAACAUGUCUUUUAGAAAAUAAUUUAAAGUCUAAUCUGCCCACUGAUAAAUAUAUUAAAGGGCUGCAGUAUAUUGACUGUACAAAGGUAGCAUAAUCAAUAGUCUUUUAAUUGGAGACUUGUAUGAAAGAUUUGAUGAGAUAUAAACUGUCUCUGAUUUAAUAAUAAAAUUUAAUUUUUUAGUUAAAAAGCUAAAAUAAAUUUAAAAGACGAGAAGACCCUAUAGAGUUUUAUAUUAAUUUUAUUUAAGAUUAAAUAUAUAAUUAAAAAUUAAAAAUGAAAAUAAUAUUUUGUUGGGGUGAUAAAAAAAUUUAUUUAACUUUUUUUUUAAAAAUUAACAUAAAUAAGUGAAUAUUUGAUCCAUUAUUAAUGAUUAAAAGAAAAAAUUACCUUAGGGAUAACAGCGUAAUAUUUUUUUCUAGUACAUAUAGAAAAAAAAGUUUGCGACCUCGAUGUUGGAUUAAGAUAAAAUUUAAAUGCAAAAGUUUAAAAUUUUGAUCUGUUCGAUCAUUAAAAUCUUACAUGAUCUGAGUUCAAACCGGUGUGAGCCAGGUUGGUUUCUAUCUUUAGAUAAAUAAAAUAUUUUAGUACGAAAGGAUCAAAUAUUUUUAAUAAUUAAAAUUUAAUGAAUAUUAAUAAUAAUUUAGAUUAA